Molecule: long non-coding RNA, 1321 nt
Filed under: Neogobius melanostomus (round goby)
Lineage: Eukaryota; Metazoa; Chordata; Actinopteri; Gobiiformes; Gobiidae
Description: lncRNA (ENSNMLG00000002637.1)
Source: RNAcentral
GAAAACAGUUCAGUGCAACAACAUUUCACCGCUUUGAGCUCAGACAUGUGAUAUGAGCGCAGACUAACAUCAUCCAGAUUUACAAAGGCUUAUGCAACAAUAUCACGAGGAAUAAAGAUCCAAAGUGUGAUUUUGUGUUUUUCUCCUCUCAGGGUGAUCCCCAAGACAAUGUCACCUACGUCGCGGUUAAUUUCAACAACAAAAAGAAGAAGAAGAGCGAUAAGAGCCGAGCUGAAGACGAGGACGUGACGUACAGCUCCGUGAACGUCGCUGCUGCAGCUGGAUCGGACUCUGUCCACAAACCAAAGUAACAUUACUCUCACUCAGUGUUGGGGAGAAUACUAUGACACUGUAUUUAGUUACUGAAUACUUGCCUUAAAAUGUAUUUUGUAACGUAUUCUGUUACUUUGUCUAAUCAGAGUACUGUAUUCUGAAUACUUUUAGAAUACUUUCACACUGAUUGUCAUUAUAUUUAUGUGUAAAUAUGGUGAAUAAUUACAACAAUAAAGACUAGGAUUAUUCAAACACCUGUUAUAAACUCACUUACCAUUAAUUAAGAACCAAAAAACUCUCUUGGCCAAUGGAGCAGCAGAUACAGCAUCAUGUGACACAUGUGUUUGUAUGAACUGUGACAUAAGGCGUUUAAAUCUUUAUUUUAUUUUAGGAGGAAAAACAGGUCAACAUUAAAGUUCUUUCUUAAUAAUAUUGUGCAAUAUGGAGCUAACAUUUAGGCCUAAUGACUGAAUACUGGGAUGUUUUCCCUUGAUAUUUGGAAAGUAACUGUAUUUUAAACACUCUCAAAUUAAAGUGUAACUUUACCAGAAUACAGUUACUCAAAAUGAAUAUUCUAAAUACAUGUAUUUAGUUACUCCCCAACACUGCUCUUACUUGAGUAAAUAUUUUGGCUGAGGUGGAGGUAGGCCUACCUCCACCUCAGUUUUAAACUUUAGAAUGUUGUGAUGUCAACUGUCCCAUCACUGGCAUCCACAGUCAGUGAUGGGACUUUUACUGGCUUUCCAUAAACCGCUUUUUUGUUUUGUCUUAUUCCCCAUGUAAAGCGUUUGAGUGUCCAAAGAAGCGCUAUACAAAAAAAUUAAAGUUUCUAAUUUUCAUUGUCCCACCCCCCCAAAUAUGUUCAUAAUGUAGUUUUAUCAUAUGGUACUUUUUACUUCUACUUGAGUAAAAAUAAUUGUUACUUUAAGCGACAAAUUGCUUCAUUUUGAUAAAAAAGGAUGUACAUCAUGCUCCUUGUUCUUUCUAAUUAUUUUGUUCUUCUGUAUUUUCUUCAUGAUUUUAUGUUUUGUUUCACAUAAUGUAUGGC